CCCGCUGAACUUAAGCAUAUCAAUAAGCGGAGGAAAAGAAACUAACAAGGAUUCCCCUAGUAACGGCGAGUGAAGAGGGAAGAGCUCAAAUUUUGAAUCUGGCGUCUUUGGCGUCCGAAUUGUAAUCUAGAGAAGUGUUUUCCGUGGCGGACCGUGCAUAAGUCUCCUGGAAUGGAGCGUCAUGGAGGGUGAGAAUCCCGUAUAUGGCACGGACUCCCGUUGCUCUGUGAUACACUCUCGACGAGUCGAGUUGUUUGGGAAUGCAGCUCUAAACGGGUGGUAAAUGCCAUCUAAAGCUAAAUAUUGGCGAGAGACCGAUAGCGAACAAGUACCGUGAGGGAAAGAUGAAAAGCACUUUGGAAAGAGAGUGAAACAGUACGUGAAAUUGUUGAAAGGGAAACGCUUGAAGUCAGUCGCGCCGUUCGGGAUUCAGCCUUGCUUCUGCUCGGUUUACUUCCCGUUGGGUGGGUCAACAUCAGUUUUGGUCGGAGGAGAAAGACUUGGGGAAGGUGGCAGCAUUCGUGCUGUGUUAUAGCCCCUUGUUGUAUACUUCGACUGGGACUGAGGAUCGCAGCACGCCUUUGGCCGGGGUUCGCCCACGUACGUGCUUAGGAUGUUGGCAUAAUGGCUUUAAGCGACCCGUCUUGAAACACGG
Molecule: ribosomal RNA, 655 nt
Filed under: uncultured fungus
Lineage: Eukaryota; Fungi
Description: eukaryotic LSU rRNA
Rfam family: Eukaryotic large subunit ribosomal RNA
Source: RNAcentral